UUUAUUGAGAGUUUGAUCCUGGCUCAGGACGAACGCUGGCGGCGCGCCUAACACAUGCAAGUCGAGCGAUGAACCUCUUCGGAUCCCUUCGGGGUGAAGAAGAGCGGAUUAGCGGCGGACGGGUGAGUAACGCGUGAGGAACCUGCCUCUCACAACGGGAUAGCCUCGGGAAACCGGGAUUAAUACCGUAUGAGACCA
This 198-nucleotide ribosomal RNA is filed under the name Aedoeadaptatus ivorii. RNAcentral describes it as "partial 16S ribosomal RNA". It matches the Rfam family "Bacterial small subunit ribosomal RNA", at positions 1 to 181 of the family's 1533-position model. Lineage: Bacteria; Bacillati; Bacillota; Tissierellia; Tissierellales; Peptoniphilaceae. The record is from RNAcentral.